CGGGCUUAGUGAUCCGGUGGUUCCGUAUGGAAGGGCCAUCGCUCAACGGAUAAAAGCUACCCUGGGGAUAACAGGCUUAUCUCCCCCAAGAGUUCACAUCGACGGGGAGGUUUGGCACCUCGAUGUCGGCUCAUCGCAUCCUGGGGCUGUAGUCGGUCCCAAGGGUUGGGCUGUUCGCCCAUUAAAGCGGUACGCGAGCUGGGUUCAGAACGUCGUGAGACAGUUCGGUCCCUAUCCGUCGCGGGCGUAGGAAAUUUGAGAGGAUCUGUCCUUAGUACGAGAGGACCGGGAUGGACAUACCGCUGGUGUACCAGUUGUUCCGCCAGGAGCAUCGCUGGGUAGCUAAGUAUGGAUGAGAUAAACGCUGAAAGCAUCUAAGUGCGAAACUCACCUCGAGAUAAGAUUUCCCAUUACGUAAGUAAGUAAGAUCCCUGAAAGAUGAUCAGGUAGAUAGGAUGGAAGUGGAAGUGCUGCGAGGCAUGGAGCGGACCAUUACUAAUCGAUCGAGGACUUAACCAAG
Molecule: ribosomal RNA, 520 nt
Filed under: Ligilactobacillus salivarius
Lineage: Bacteria; Bacillati; Bacillota; Bacilli; Lactobacillales; Lactobacillaceae
Description: partial 23S ribosomal RNA
Rfam family: Bacterial large subunit ribosomal RNA
Source: RNAcentral